CAGACAGACAGACAGAGAGUGCAAAGAUAACAGCAGAGUGGAGAGAGAGGAAGAGGAGGAGCAACAGAGAGUUAAGAGAAACACAGAGAAGCAGAGAGCUGCAUACACAUCAGCAAGUAACUGUAAGAAGGCAAGGGAAAGAGAAGACACAAUAAGGAACAGAAACACAGAAACAGGGGUGAAGAGAAAAGAAAACAAGAAACUAAAGCAAGAGAAGACUUAAAGAAUACACUGAAAGGCUGAGGGAGUUGUUCUCAGCUGGGAAUCCAUCCAGCAGACUGCAGAGACUUCAGUCUGUGUCCAAGAAAACAUACAAAACCAGUGUGACUGGAAGUGUACUGGGAGGACAGACUGGUUACUACCCACAGGGAGCAGACUUCCAAGCAUCAUGGCUGACAAUGUGAAUGAGGAGUCAGAUUAUAAGGAGUCGGGGAAAGAUGAGCUGGACUGGGGCUACGAGGAAGGUGUAGAAUGGGGACUCCAUUUCCCAGCAGCCAAUGGCGAGUACCAGUCUCCUAUUAAUUUAAACUCCAGGGAGGCUCAAUAUGACCCGUCCCUCCUGGAUGUUGGCUUGUCACCAAACUAUGUGGUGUGUCGAGACUGUGAGGUCAUUAAUGAUGGACACACUGUCCGUAUCAUUCUCAAGUCCAAAUCAGUGGUUACCGGAGGUCCGCUGCCUAGUGAUCACGAGUAUGAGCUUCAUGAGGUUCGAUUCCACUGGGGUAAAGAGAACCAGAGAGGAUCAGAGCACACUGUCAACUUCAAGGCUUUCCCUAUGGAGCUCCAUCUGAUUCACUGGAACAGUACUCUGUUUAACACUUUGGAGGAUGCUCUUGGGAAGAAGAAUGGAGUUCUCAUCAUCGCUCUUUUUGUGCAGGUUGGUAAAGAGCAUCUGGGUCUGAAGGCCAUCACUGAAGUUCUACAGGACCUGCAGUACAAGGGGAAGAGCAAGAUAAUCCCCUGCUUCAACCCUAACACUCUGUUACCUGAUCCUUUACUGAGAGACUACUGGGUGUAUGAAGGAUCUCUUACCACUCCACCUUGUAGUGAAAAUGUGACCUGGAUUCUCUACCGCUACCCUCUCACCAUCUCGCAGUUACAGAUUGAAGAGUUCCGGAGGCUGCGCUCCCACGUCAAAGGGGCGGAGCUGCUAGAAGGGAAUGAUGGGUUGUUGGGGGACAACUUUCGUCCCACUCAGCCACUCAGUGACCGGACAGUUCGUGCCGCCUUCCAGUGACUCUCACUGUCCACCGCCAACUCAGAAAAACUAGGGGACCUUCGGAUACAAAUUUGGAAGGAGAAAGCAAAAAGGUGUAAACACAAGAAUGGAAGUAGAGGGAGGAAUGGAGGGAGAAUUGAUGUGGUUGUAGAUCAGCUGCACCCUGAAGGUGGACAAACAAACUAUUGAUCUCACACCCUUGCUGCGUGCUUUUCUGUGUGUGUGUGUGUGUGUGUGUGUGUGUGUGUAGAUGUAACCUCUCACUCCCUCUGUAUAUGAGUGUAACAUCCUCCCUGUGCCUGUAAGCAUACAGUAGAAAUAUGAGUAUUAUUGUGCUAAUGUGUGUGCGUUUAGAAGAUAAGAAGAUUUACAAGUAACCCAUCUCUGCUGUCAAAACAAGAGGAAACACGAGCCACAGAUGUACCUGUACACACACACACACACACACACACACACACACACACACAGCUUCCAACACUCAACAGACGCACAUAUGCUUCACACCAAUAAUGUGCAAACACCUGAGGCUGAGCGUUCUGUCUUAUUGACUUAAAGUGCUGCAGGAGACCUGCUGGACAAGUUUAACACACAGUUCACAAACUAAACUCCUAACUUCAUAUUUUGUUUUCACUCAGUUGAAAAUGAAGUGAAAUGAAAAUAACUUCACAUAAGCAGAAGAAGACAAGCCAUCUUUUCUGGUCAGCCCUCAUUUAACCGUGUAACACCAAGUAACGUUCACUUUUUAAGCUCUUUUGUCAAGAGAUGCUUUAGAAUCUGUCAUAUACCGAAAAUACUGUCAUCAAAUCAAGUCAGUGAAAUUUUAGUCCAGUUUCUUGUUGAGUGCUGUUAUCAGCUCCAACCACAAACUGACAAACUGUAAAAUUCUAGUGGUUUGCUCACAUCACAAGUGGCUUUCCCCUGCAUAUCUCCUGCUAGCUUAGGUCUCACUGAACUGUGGCAGAUUUUUGUUUUUAAUGGUGCACCUAAACUUUCAUCACUGCAAAGAAUCACUGUGUUUGAUGAUUUAAAUCAUAAGCUAGCUCUACUUGACAAAACUUUCCCAACCAGAGUGUGGUGGUUGGCCAAAAAGGUUAAUUAAAAGUUCCACUCUGCCACUGCAGUAAUGGCGAUGGAAUUCGAGAGUGCAGCCAAAGAAACUAAAAAACUUCCUUGAGUGCAGCAUAUAUUCUCUGUUUGCUCUGUAAUGGCUAGCUUUAUGUCAGACUGUUUAGGUUAUAUUCUGGUGUUGAAGCGUGAACACUUUGGCUGAACCACAUCUACAUCCUACCAUUCACUCAGAACAGAUUUGGUCAAAUGAAUUCUGGGUAGUGACUUCUGGGAAAUUCUCCAGCGUAUCUUCCUGCUUUAGACAGUCAGAUAUGAAAUUAAAAGAAAUGUUACGCUGCACCAGCACAUGACCAUCCAAAGCCUUGUGAAUUUCAGUCCAACUGCAGUCAAACUGGGUGAAAACACAGAGUAACACAACAGUUUACAUGUUUUAAUAUCGCUGUCUGUCUUUAUAGUGGCUUGAUUUCAAUUCACCUCCAGAUUCUCCAUCAAUCAGUCUUUUUUUUUUCUUUUUUAAAUAAAAAUCUUCAAGUUUAAAUGACAUCAUCAGAACAUGUAGACUGUUAGCAGUUUUAACCCUCAUUAACGUCAUUGGAACAUGACUCUCAUCAGUCCCCUUCAUAUUAUUUUAGGAAGCAUUGCUUUUACAUGUUUUUUUAAACAUAUUUACAGCUGACAUUAAAAUCUAUAUCUGUACAUGGUAACUGGAUAACACAAAAGGCAUAUUCACGCCAGGUGUAAAUGCAUUCAGACUUCUUUGGGAUCAGAAUGAGAUCAGAUCAGCCAGACCACAUCGAAUUAUAACAUUUGUACUGUGUGUACACAUUCUUGAGAAAAAAACAUUUCAGAGCAAGUUGAAAAGUCAACUAAGUCUGCCUCUUCCUGGAAAUGUAAAGUUCACAAACUAGCAAGACUUUCCUCACAAAAAAGGAUGUGUAUGUGUGUGUGUGUAGUCUUCGAAGGUACUGUCUGACAAAAUGAGCUGAAAUAAACUGUGAUAACUGAUGACUGUUACUGUAUAGCAACAAUAAACUACACCGACUUACCUAAAA
Molecule: RNA transcript, 3339 nt
Organism: Scatophagus argus
Lineage: Eukaryota; Metazoa; Chordata; Actinopteri; Scatophagidae
Gene: ca8
Gene name: carbonic anhydrase VIII
Exons: 9
Source: RefSeq, a predicted model, not a curated record